UACGGGAGGCAGCAGGGGGAAUAUUGCACAAUGGGCGCAAGCCUGAUGCAGCCAUGCCGCGUGUAUGAAAAAGGCCUUCGGGUUGUAAAGUACUUUCAGUCGUGAGGAAGGUGUUAAGGUUAAUAACCUUAGCAAUUGACGUUAGCGACAGAAGAAGCACCGGCUAACUCCGUGCCAGCAGCCGCGGUAAUACGGAGGGUGCGAGCGUUAAUCGGAAUUACUGGGCGUAAAGGGCACGCAGGCGGUUAAUUAAGUUGGAUGUGAAAUCCCCGGGCUUAACCUGGGAAUGGCAUUCAAGACUGGUUAGCUAGAGUCUUGUAGAGGGGGUAGAAUUCCAUGUGUAGCGGUGAAAUGCGUAGAGAUGUGGAGGAUACCGGUGGCGAAGGCGGCCCCUGGACAAAGACUGACGCUCAUGUGCGAAAGCGUGGGGAGCAAACAGGGAUUAGAUACCCGU
This 454-nucleotide ribosomal RNA is filed under the name uncultured bacterium. RNAcentral's name for it is "bacterial SSU rRNA". It matches the Rfam family "Bacterial small subunit ribosomal RNA", at positions 340 to 789 of the family's 1533-position model. The record is from RNAcentral.